UUUACUUAAAGUUUGGACCUUGAGUUUUUCUGCGAUACAAAAAAGGGCAGCAAGAGGCUUUACGGCGAUUAGGCGAGGAAGUUAUAAAAGCUUCCGUAAUACUUUUUUUGUGUCUUUCAGAGCAUGAACAUUGUUGGCCAUAGGCCGAUAGUGACAAGGACUCCCAUGAUAGUCCCGAAGUAGCAGCCAAAAAGAAUGAGUUUCAGAGAGAUAAAGUAGAGCGAACGAGGAACACAGAGAAAGAUGGGGGAGAGUUCCGGUUACAAGGAGUACGUGGCAGGCUUGGUCGCCGGUGUCGCCACUGUCAUCAUCGGCCACCCCUUCGACACAGUCAAGCUUCUUUUUAGAUAAACAAUGCAACCGUAAAUGGUUAUUGAUGAAAUUAGGUGAAGCUGCAAAAGCACAAUACUGAAGCACAUGGGAUUACAUACAGGAGUGGUUUACAUUGCACAUCUAGGAUUUUGAAGACCGAAGGAAUUAGAGGACUUUAUAGAGGGGCAACAUCAUCUUUUGUUGGGGUGGCUUUUGAGAGUUCACUUCUUUUUGGCAUUUACUCCCAAACAAAGCAGUCACUGCAGGGAGGUGUACAAGGUGGUGGCCCACAACUCCAAGUGAUAAUUCCUUCUGCGGCUUACGGUGGAGCUCUUAUCAGUUUUGUAUUAUGUCCAUCAGAGCUGCUGAAGUGUAGGAUGCAAGUUCAAGGCACUGACUCUAUGGUUCCAAAGUCAAGUAGAUAUGGUAGUCCCCUUGAUUGUGCCCUCAAAACCAUAAAAACUGAAGGGGUUACAGGGAUCUUUCGCGGAGGUUGUACAACAUUGCUAAGAGAAUCUGCUGGCAAUGCAGUCUUUUUUAGUGUUUAUGAGUAUGUCCGGUAUUACAUGCAUUCACGACUAAAAGCUGCUUCAUCUUACCAUAGCCACUUGAUUGACAUGGGAAUUGGGAUUGUGAGUGGUGGCCUUGGUGGUGUAGCUUUUUGGUCUGCUGUUUUGCCCUUGGAUGUGGCAAAAACUAUAAUUCAAACUGCCCCAGAUAAAAGCUCUUCAAGGAAUCCUUUUCAAAUCUUGAGCUCAAUUUACAGGAGGGCUGGAUUUAAAGGAUGCUAUACAGGUUUGGGUCCUACCAUAGUUCGGGCAUUUCCCGCCAAUGCGGCUGCAAUCGUUACCUGGGAGCUAGCAAUAAAAAUUUUAGGCAUCAAGCAUGACUGAAGAGGUUAUUUUCAAUUACCACAUGCUUCAAUUUUUUUGUUCCCAUUCCCUAUAGCACAUCCACUGGUUGCUAUUUGGUAAGAUUUCACCCAGAAAAUUGUGGGCAUAGCCAGACCAUGGGAGUGUUGAUAUCUAAUAAAAAAACUUCACUGGAUAUUUUUCGAAACAAGGCUCCACCAUCUUAUUUUGUAGUCCUUUAUUUAGUGGCUGGACUGAAAGGGGCGAUGUGUUUUGAGUUAUUACAAUUCUUGUUUGACGGGCCUUUUGCUUCAUUUUUAGUUUAUCCGUUAAGGAUGGAUUGAAAGAUUUACUUUGUAGUCUAUAAGUCUAGUUGAAGAUGCUGGUCAUGAUGUUCAGUUUGAGUUAGAUUAGCUUGGUCUCACUGGAGAUUUUUCAAGACUGAUUGUAACGGUUCCUAAUUAUUGGCAUUUUUUCGAGUGCUGGACUUUGGACAAGCUUGUGCUCAGGAAAUAUAGAAAUU
RNA transcript from Juglans regia (Persian walnut), 1686 nucleotides. It is a transcript of the gene named mitochondrial arginine transporter BAC1, with no coding region annotated. The transcript is spliced from 9 exons. The record is from RefSeq and is a predicted model, not a curated record. Lineage: Eukaryota; Viridiplantae; Streptophyta; Magnoliopsida; Fagales; Juglandaceae.